RNAcentral lists this long non-coding RNA (1956 nucleotides) under Homo sapiens (human). Its description in RNAcentral is "HSALNT0145663". Lineage: Eukaryota; Metazoa; Chordata; Mammalia; Primates; Hominidae. The record is from RNAcentral.
AGGGUGGCGGGGGAGCCUUGGGUUCAAAUUCUGGAACAGGAGGGACAAAGAAGGGCAGGGAAUUGGUGGUGAUGAGUAGGUACCACUUCUGGGGAAGAUGACAGAGCAACUGGACCUGAAAAACUCUCGACUUACCUAAAAUAUCAAUUACAGCCAGUGACAAAGAAUUCACGCCACACAACUCAUUACCAAUCAAACAAACUACUAUGGUUAUCUCAAACCAAACGUCACUUUACUUUUUUGGUAACUUUUCAUUAUAAUAAUAAACUCUAUUCAUGAAUAUGCAGCCUCCAUAAUCUUCUCCCUUGUAACAAACGUGCAGUCCGUUCACAAGCUGUAAAAACAAGCCCAAACCCAAGACAUCACAAGAGGCAAGAGCAGUGGCAGUGAGAAGGGAGCCUGUAAAGGAUGUUUCAAAGGAGGGUCCCAGGCUAUGUGGCCACUGGAUGUAGGCAGUGAGCUGAGUCCAGGCUUUCGGUCUGGGAAGUGGCAGAGGCUGAGACAAUGGCCAAAGAGGAGUUGGAGAGGAAACUAUGCUCGGUUUCACUCCUGCCAGCCCAACAGCCUAUUCCCUGGUGUGAAUCAACUGGUGUUUGAUCAACUUUGAUCGCUGGCUGAAGGCUUUCCCACAAGCAGCACAGUCAUAGGGCUUCACCCCAGUGUGAAUCCUCUGGUGCUGGAUGAGGACCGAACGCUGACUGAAGGCUUUCCCACACUCACUGCAUUUGUAGGGGCGCUCGCCCGUGUGGAUUAUCUGAUGCUGAAUGAGGUGUGAGCUCUGGCUGAAGCCCUUACCACAUUCAACACAGGUGUAGGGUUUUUCCCCAGUAUGAACUUUCUGGUGGUGAAUGAGAUUUGAGCUUCGGUUGAAGGCUUUACCACACUGGUUACAUUCAUGGGGCUUCAGCCCAUUAUGAAUCCUCUGAUGCUGAAUGAGGGUUGAGCUCUGGCUGAAGGUUUUUCCACAUUCAGUACAUUCAUAGGGCUUCUCUCCAGUGUGGACUCGCUGGUGAAGGAUGAGGUUGGAGCUGCGACCAAAGGUCUUCCCACACUCGUGGCAGGCGUAGGGCUUGUCGCCUGUGUGCACGCCCUGGUGCUGAAUGAGGGCUGAGCUGUGGCUGAAGGCCUUCCCACAGACACUGCAUCUGUACGGCUUCUCUCCCGUGUGGAUGAUCUGGUGCUUUCGGAGCACUGAGCUAUAACUAAAGGCUUUUCCACAUACAUUACACACGUGAGGCUUUUCUCCAGUGUGAAUUCUCCGAUGCUGAAUAAGGCUGGAGCUCUGACUAAAUGCUUUCCCACAGUCACUGCACUUAUAGGGCUUCUCUCCAGUGUGAACCCUGUGGUGCUUAAUGAGGUUGGAGACCCGACUGAAGGGCUUGCCACAAUCAUUACACUCAUAAGGCUUCUCUCCAGUGUGGACCCUCUGGUGCUUCCUCAGGUGUGCACUCUGGCUGAAGGCUUUCCCACACUCGCCACACUCAAAAGGCUUCUCUCCUGUGUGAGUCCUGUGGUGUUUGAUGAGGUUUGAGCUUCGCCUGAAGGUUUUCCCACAAUCAUCACACAUAAAGGAAGCCUCCCCAGUGUGGACUAUUUGACGCUGAAUAAGGUCAGGAUUUCCUUGGAAGGUUUUCCCACACUCAUUACAUAUGAGUGGACUUUCAGCUGUGGGAACCCCCUCAUGACCAGUUAGGUCCACACUGUGCUGGAAACUCUGGCCACCCAUGUCAUAUGGAUGUGGCCUCUCUUCUGUAGGGAUUUCCUGACAUGCCAUCAGGUUUGGGCUCAGACUGAAGCGACUGUCAAAACCAUUACAGUCCAGAUCUUUCUCCCCUAAGGGGCCCCUAAGGAGCCCCAUGGCAGCUGGUGUGAAGUCCCCCUCCUGGGAGAGGGACUGUGGCAGCCUCCUGCCUUCGGGGACUCCCCAGUCUCUUUCUGAUACAUCAUCACACAGAU